CUGAUCUUUGAAAGUACAGAAGUCUUGCACAUAGGGAUAUCAACUGAAGCUAUUCAUAGUGUGACACAAAUUCAUAUCAUGAAAUACAAUGUUUUUCAUUGUAUAAAGGACCGUUUUUUU
Molecule: non-coding RNA, 120 nt
Filed under: Chlamydotis macqueenii (Macqueen's bustard)
Lineage: Eukaryota; Metazoa; Chordata; Aves; Otidiformes; Otididae
Source: RNAcentral